Long non-coding RNA from Danio aesculapii, 584 nucleotides. RefSeq lists it as uncharacterized. The transcript is spliced from 4 exons. The record is from RefSeq and is a predicted model, not a curated record. NCBI's taxonomy places the organism in Eukaryota, Metazoa, Chordata, Actinopteri, Cypriniformes, Danionidae.
UCUGUGAGAGAGAAACAGCGACUGUAUGUGCUGUGAUAAUGAACGCGGCACAUUUACCUCAAAACUCUAGCUCUUCAGAGUUAACUGGGUUUAGUUAAACUGCCAAACGAUAAAAGCUCCAUAAAGUCUCAUUAGCGAAGUAAAGUAAGUUGAAGUAGUUUAGAUAUCACUUACGUCAUAUUUCUGCCGUUUCAGUUUAUCGUUCAGAUCGUAUUUUUCUGCUUCCAGCGACAUCAACGACUGCCACAGCUCAGUGGCUUUAUCCCUGGAACGAGUGACAGAAAUGAGGCGUUCCUGACGGGCUCGUCUCCGGCGCUCGCGAGCCACCUCCUCAUCAUCAUCAUAAGAGUUCAUCCUGUGGAGCCGAUGGGACACAGACACGUUUGAAUCUGGAAGUGUGAUGUGCUCGUGAGGCUGAAGGAAUUCCUCGAGUCGGGUCUCCUCAUUUUAUGAAGUGUGCAGCGGUUUAGACUCCGCCUCGCUGAGCUCCAUCACUUCAUCCUGCGCGCUCCUCUAUCCGUUGUGCUGGAAAUGGACCAAAAUCCGACGUUGAGCCAACAUCUUAAACCAACAUCAUAUUGACG